UGGGGAAUAUUGGACAAUGGGCGAAAGCCUGAUCCAGCCAUGCCGCGUGAGUGAUGAAGGCCCUAGGGUUGUAAAGCUCUUUUGUGCGGGAAGAUAAUGACGGUACCGCAAGAAUAAGCCCCGGCUAACUUCGUGCCAGCAGCCGCGGUAAUACGAAGGGGGCUAGCGUUGCUCGGAAUCACUGGGUGUAAAGGGUGCGUAGGCGGGUUUCUAAGUCAGAGGUGAAAGCCUGGAGCUCAACUCCAGAACUGCCUUUGAUACUGGAAGUCUUGAGUAUGGGAGAGGUGAGUGGAACUGCGAGUGUAGAGGUGAAAUUCGUAGAUAUUCGCAAGAACACCAGUGGCGAAGGCGGCUCACUGGUCCAUAACUGACGCUGAGGCACGAAAGCGUGGGGAGCAAACA
RNAcentral lists this ribosomal RNA (402 nucleotides) under uncultured bacterium. Its description in RNAcentral is "bacterial SSU rRNA". It matches the Rfam family "Bacterial small subunit ribosomal RNA", at positions 355 to 774 of the family's 1533-position model. The record is from RNAcentral.